UUCGUAAAAUACGCAUGCGCAGUAUCAACUCCCUUCUCUUCGCGUAAGGUAUAAAUAGUGAUACGCUAGCGUAUUCGUAUUCUAUUCGUAGCCACCUGGCGAGGAUCGAACUUCGGCUUCAGUUUGUCAAGAGCAAAGCUAUUCGUAUUUCAAAUUUAUUCCGAUUCUUUUCAUUGAGCUUACGAAAAGUAAACAUUUAAAUAAUCUUGUUGUAAAUCAAUUGAUGCCUUUAGAUACUUGAUUGAAAACUUUGUGGCAAGAUUUUAACUGUAGAAGAAUAGAUAUUGUAUAAAUAUUGAAAGAUGCCAUUGCAAAAGUAUUAAAACUUCAAAAAAACUUAGAUUUACAAUAAAUUUAUAUAAGAAUUUUUAAAUAUUUUUUCUGAAGUAUUAUUCAAAGUAUUAUUCAAAGUAUUAUUUUAUUAUAUUAAAUUUAUACUUUUAAUAUUUCUUUUAAUAUUCUACUUUUAAUAUUUACUUCAUAAAAGCUAUUUUAUUUUUUUUGUUACUAUCCAAUGAACAAUGCUUGUUUCAAUUAAUUACUACUCUCACGAGUCCAACCGUUCAGCUAAAGCUUGUUCUCACGGUACUAAUCGUCAUUGAUGGUUCUGAUAACUCACGUCCUCACUGUCAGUUGUGGCACGUACAACCUGCAUUAUCUACUGGUAAGACAGCGCAUCAGGUCCAUGGGGAAGUCAUGUUCCAAAGGAUUUACGAGCAGAGAUCAGAACGAGGACGAUGACAGAGACCUUUCAAUCUAUCGAAUCUAUUUAUGUUCCUGAAACAAUUGUCUCACGAAAAUUCCAGUUUCGACAAUGAGUGAAGAAAACGACUCGUCUUCAAUCUAUUCUUCUUAUGAAUGAACACUUAUCAGGCCGCUUAUCUACAUGCAUAGUCCGUAAUCUUUUCCUUAUACAACUUCCCUCUGUGUACACAUACUUGAGCUCCACCUCUCGCAUUGUCUAGCUGCUCAUGUAACCGAUAUCCUCCAUUUCUCGCACGAAAGUAGUGCCACCAGUGGCGCUACAGCAAAAUAUACAUCUGUCCCUGUGUUAAAUGGUUUUCCCUCCACAUGCGUAUAAACGCAUACUCUGGUGAAUGCACGAAUUCGAAGGUUUCUGGACAAAGGGUGAGCAGAGAAGGGAGGUGUUACGCUUCGUCUGGUCCUCCGUGAGAUUGCACACCGUGACCAACAAACUACCACGGUUUACGGGAUAUAACUCGGGAGGAACGAGCUCGACAAGAGGGAAACGGAAAAUGCGGGAAAAUGGAGAUGGUCAGAAAAGAAUAGUGUAUGUGAGAACAGGGAAACGUACUGGUUCAAGAGGUACGUACAUAGUAUGAUAAUAUAUCAUUAAUAUAAAAUGAAAAUUUAAAAUAUUAUUUAAAAAAUGGCAAUGAAUAUUAACAAAUAUUAUGAAUAGCAUAAUUAAAUAUUGAAAAAAAUUCUUAAUAUAAAAUAUAAAUUAUUAAAAUAUAGAUAGAUAAAUACAAUGAAUAAAAGUACAAAAUUAAAAUGAAAAUAUAAAAAUUAAGUUUCGAGAAUUUAUAAAGCGUAAUAAGAUUACUAUGCAUGAAAUCGAAAACCAAGGAAAGAAAAUGAGAAGAUGAGAUGGAUUAUAAUAUAGUGUUUCUUAUUUUAUGAGAAAAAAGCAAUUAUAAAAUAUGUAUCUUGAAAACAGAAGGAAGUAGUAAAAGAGCGAAAAAAUGGGAUAAACUUUUUACGAUGUAAACGAUAUUACCGUGAAAAACUAAGGUAGAACACAUGUGGAAAUAAAAAUAUUUAGCAACGUUGAAACAUACAGAGCAUAUGUGUCCCAAGUAUCGUGCUGGUAUCUUUUGAAUUUUCAAAAUAAACAAUGUUUUCAACAGAAGAGAUACUCGUUCAACACUCUUAAUAACCAAAUUGAAAACCACAAAAAUUUCUUGAAAAAUUUUUACUAAAAAUUUGGUUAGAAUCGAUGAACCUCAAAAAAUUCGUUUGACAAAAAAUAUAUGGAUAUACUCGCACAAAUUCACUAUUUUUAACGAGAAUAUAGAGAACUAGUAUAUAGAGAACAUUUAGGAAACCAUGAUUAUUAAACAUUCCAAUUAAAACGAAUCAAUAAGGUUAAUUGGUUCGCAUAAUUCUAGCUGAAUAUGGCGCGCUACGAAAUGCGUGCGGUAAGUUAUCGUGGAAUGCAAUUUAUAUUUAGGUAGGUAACUUUACUGGAACGGUGUAAUUCAUCUCCAUUGCAACUGUGAUAUCAGUGGUUGGCUUUUCGUUUGUCAUAUAAUAGUGGAAAGUGGAAAUCCAAGAAUUUAUGCCGCAGUUUAAUAUAUAUCUAUUUCAAUCGAUCAAGAUGGACAUGUUGAUUGCAUCUUGUUGGAAAUCCCACUUUCACUCUUAUCAAGCAACGUGUUCUAACUGGCUCUUCGAGUCUGGCCUGGAAUUGUUGAUCACCUUCGUCGGUCACUGGAAGUAAUAAGUAAAUACGUGCGGUAUUUCGUACACAAAGCGAAGGUAUUCCGCCUCCAGUACAAGUUUAAGGACUUUACGUGGCAAAUUCCUUACAUCUAGAGAUGUUUAACCACGAUAAUCAUUAAACCGAGCAUGAAAUUGCAUAAUUUUCUGUGUACAUUAUGAAAAUUACGAUUGGAAACGUGAUUAAAAAUUGGUGAAUAACUAAAAGUUUUUUUAAUAAAAACAAAGUUUUAAUAAAAAGAUCGGAUUUUAGUAAUUUAAAAAAAAAUAUAUAAUUUAAAAAAAAAAGUAUUUGUUAUGGAUUAAUGCGAGAAAUGACUAGAAAUUAAGAUUUGAUCGCUUAUUGAUCUGAUCAGAACUUAUUAUUCUACUUGUUUGACCAAACGAUUGGCAAUAUAAUCUACAAAAGGAUAAUCUACCAUUAGCCGAACUAAUGGCUGACCUAUACCUCUCGUCUGGCCCAGCAAAUGCUAUUUAUCUGACCAAAUGAUCGAUAUAUUAUCGGCCUGACCAAAGGUUGACCUAUACUACUUGAUUGACCAAAUGAUUGAAGAUGCAAUAUUGGUUAAUAUCCAACUCUGAUUUAAAAAUAUAAAACUAGCAAGGAAUGGUUGACUUGUUCUACUUAUUCGGUUAUGCAAUUAAGGAUAUGAAAUUGGUUUAGCAAAUAGUUGACCUGUACUACUUGCUUGAAAUAUGAAAUUCAAUAUAAAAUUAUACGAAAGAGAAUAUAUAUUGUAUGAUAUAUUAGCCGUUAUUGGGUAUGGAUUUAAAUCAAACUGAGAGCAGACAUUGACAUUUCAAAAGGAUAAUGAUUAUAAAAAUUGUGUCAUACAAAAUGAAAAGGGGAAAAAUGGCGAUUCGUCAAUACAGCGAUUGAAAUCCAAUUGUAACGGCCAUCAUCGAAUAAAAAUUUAGUAAAAAAAAGUUAUUUCGUUAUUGAAAAUAUCGAUGAAUUAUGCUGGAAUAUAAAAUAAAAGUUAAUAUCUAUUUUAUAAGUCUAAAAGAAUUGACGAAACGUGUGCUGAAAUGUUAAUUAAUAUUGAAGGUAAAAUAUAUAAAUUUUAAUUUAUGAGAGAAUUUAUUCUUGCAGAAAUAUAACAAAUAUGUCUCUAUUAUGAAUAGUAAUUUAUAUUAUUUAAUACACGUAAUUAUUAAAAUUUUGUUUAUUUAAUGUAAUUAAUUUGUUUCAUACAUAUGUUUGUAACAUAUGUUUAAUAUUAUUAUGCAAAGUAAUUGUUAUAAAAAUUAUGAAAAUUGUUAAAUAUUAUAAUAUUUGAUUAUUAUCUUGAAAGAAAAAGUAAUAGAAUAUAAUAAUAAAAAAUAAUAAAAAUACA
Molecule: long non-coding RNA, 3800 nt
Organism: Apis cerana (Asiatic honeybee)
Lineage: Eukaryota; Metazoa; Arthropoda; Insecta; Hymenoptera; Apidae
Source: RefSeq, a predicted model, not a curated record